This 426-nucleotide long non-coding RNA is filed under the name Mytilus galloprovincialis (Mediterranean mussel). Lineage: Eukaryota; Metazoa; Mollusca; Bivalvia; Mytilida; Mytilidae. The record is from RNAcentral.
AAAAAAAUAAUAUAAAAUUAUGAGGAAGAAAAAAGAGUUAACAAAAACUGAUCAAAGAAAGUAGAAAUAACAACAAAAUAACAAAUGCAAAUAGAAGAAAUGAGAUUCCAAAUAUUGAACAAAGUCAGAGAAAUAUUAUACUAGGAAAAAACAAAAAUUAGAUAAAGACAAAUUGAAAUACUUUACAAAGGAAGAAAUAUUAAAAAAAAAGGAAAUAUCAAUGAUAUACUGAACAAGGAGAACUGAAGCUAGAAAUUUAAAACAGGAUCACAAAUUUAGUGAAUAUAUGGAAGUAACAAGCACAAUAUCAUUCAAUACCAAAACAAAAAGACAGAAGAAAAAAGGUAAAACUAUCCAAAACAGGAAAGAAUACUAAAACAGAAAACAGAAAAAAAUAGAAUAAUGAACAAAAAAAUAUAGAAGCAG